RNAcentral lists this small RNA (332 nucleotides) under Pongo abelii (Sumatran orangutan). Its description in RNAcentral is "retained intron". Lineage: Eukaryota; Metazoa; Chordata; Mammalia; Primates; Hominidae. The record is from RNAcentral.
GCGGCCGCCUGGAGCUCUCGGCCUCGGCCUUCGACGACGGCAACUUCUCGCUGCUCAUCCGCGGUGCGGGGACCGGGGCCGCGGGGUCGGGGCAGGGGACCGGGGCCGCGGGGUCAGGGGCACCGCAAGGCUCACGCGCGGCUUCCUCCUGGGUGCGCAGCGGUGGAGGAGACGGACGCGGGGCUGUACACCUGCAACCUGCACCACCACUACUGCCACCUCUACGAGAGCCUGGCCGUCCGCCUGGAGGUCACCGACGGCCCCCCGGCCACCCCCGCCUACUGGGACGGCGAGAAGGAGGUGCUGGCGGUGGCGCGCGGCGCACCUGCGCU